CUACGUGCCAGCAGCCGCGGUAAUACGGAAGGUUCGGGCGUUAUCCGGAUUUAUUGGGUUUAAAGGGAGCGUAGGCCGUGGAUUAAGCGUGUUGUGAAAUGUAGACGCUCAACGUCUGAAUUGCAGCGCGAACUGGUUCACUUGAGUAUGCACAACGUAGGCGGAAUUCGUCGUGUAGCGGUGAAAUGCUUAGAUAUGACGAAGAACUCCGAUUGCGAAGGCAGCUGACGGGAGCGCAACUGACGCUUAAGCUCGAAGGUGCGGGUAUCAAACAGGAUUAGAUACCCUGGUAGUCCGCACAGUAAACGAUGGAUGCCCGCUGUUGGUACCUGGUAUCAGCGGCUAAGCGAAAGCAUUAAGCAUCCCACCUGGGGAGUACGCCGGCAACGGUGAAACUCAAAGGAAUUGACGGGGGCCCGCACAAGCGGAGGAACAUGUGGUUUAAUUCGAUGAUACGCGAGGAACCUUACCCGGGCUUGAA
This 481-nucleotide ribosomal RNA is filed under the name uncultured bacterium. RNAcentral describes it as "bacterial SSU rRNA". It matches the Rfam family "Bacterial small subunit ribosomal RNA", at positions 501 to 985 of the family's 1533-position model. The record is from RNAcentral.